UACAGAGGUCUCAAGCGUUGUUCGGAUUCAUUGGGCGUAAAGGGUGCGUAGGUGGCGCUGUAAGUCGGGUGUGAAAUUUCGGAGCUUAACUCCGAAACUGCAUUCGAUACUGCGGUGCUUGAGGACUGGAGAGGAGACUGGAAUUCAUGGUGUAGCAGUGAAAUGCGUAGAGAUCAUGAGGAAGACCAGUGGCGAAUGCGGGUCUCUGGACAGUUCCUGACACUGAGGCACGAAGGCCAGGGGAGCAAACGGG
Molecule: ribosomal RNA, 253 nt
Filed under: uncultured bacterium
Lineage: Bacteria
Description: partial 16S ribosomal RNA
Rfam family: Bacterial small subunit ribosomal RNA
Source: RNAcentral